UUACUCACAGGUUGUUUUUUUGUCCCCCCCCCUUCACACUUUCUAUAUUUUUGUUUACCUUCUCUGUUCACAAGCUUCAACCACCACAUGCAGAAGGAUGCCAAAUUUAUAUCCCGUUCUAACUUCUCUUCGUUUAAGGCCCAAAUGUCUAAUUCUUAACCAUUCGUUUGCCAAAGGAUGUCCCACAGGCACAUCACGUUUCUUGUGCCUGAACAUCACUCAUCCGUUUUCGUAAUCUGCUUCUCAUCGAUUAAUCUCUUCUCCUGUGUGAUUAUUCCCGUCCACUUCGUUAUUGAAGACAGAGCCUUCAGAAUGGUUAUUGAUUCCCUUCUCAGUCACUCCUUAUGCUUCAUUAUAUACCAAGAUUUGCCUUUCCAAUUCUCCCUCUCCAGUAAGUGCUUACGUGGUUGCCUCAUCUAAUGGGGUAAGAGACAAGAUAGGGAAGAAGUGAGAGCUAAGAGAUUAUUUCAACAAUUCAGGCAAGAGCUUGAUAGAGUUUUAAUCUAAUUCCAUAACAGCGGGCAUAAAAAGUGAGUCCAGAGACAAGUCGUCAUGACACAAAAUGUACAUAACAAAAUGCAAAUGAUGGCAUAGGCGUAAAAGUAUUUGAAAUAACGAAGCUUUCAAAAUGAUUCUGCCUUGGGGACUACGUUCUAAUCAAGCUGAUAUUUAUUCACAUGGUUAACAUGAUUUUGAAGUAUUAGGUUCCCACAUUCAUUCAUAUGUGUACAAAUUAAUUCUGUAAGCAUUUACUGAACACACUUAAAGCAUUGUGCUAGUAUCUUUAAGUAAAUAUGUUUAAGGUGCAAACAGUCUUGUGAUAUCCACACAAGAGCUGGGAAAGCAAAUGCUCACCACACUCUCUUGAAGGUACAUAGGUAUAGUUCUAGCUGUUGAGACUGAAACAGAAAUUUUCUGGGCAUAGCUAAAAAACUUCUGCUUUUUUGAUAAAAAAGAAUAGACUCAACUGCAGUGACUCCCUUUUCCUCUUUCACCACACUUCCUUUUUUUUUUUUUUUUUUUUUUUGGCUUUUGUCUUUUUAAGGCCGCACCUCGGCUACAACCCCGAUGCAAUCCCUAGCCUGGGAACUUCCAUAUGCUGUGGGUGCAGCCCUAACAAGCCAAAAAAAAAAAAAGGAUCCAGAGUUGUCACUGCCAUGGUGCAGGUUCAGUCCCUGGCCCAGGAAUUUCUACAUGCCACGGUACAGCCCUAAAAUAAUAAUAAAAACAAAAUGUAUUAGAUGUUGCACACAUCACUCCUGCCAUAUACAUAAAUGGCAGUGUUUAACUGCAAGGGAGGCUGAAAAAUGUAAAUUUAAUUUUAUGUAACUAUUUGCCUGGCUUGACAUUUCCCAUGGCCUGCAAUGAUUGUUUCCCUUGCUUUCUGACUUGUCAACUCAUAUUUCUUUUGAAACUGCAUUCAUAUAUCACCUACUUGGAGAAUUCUUUUAUUGAAUUACCUCUUCUCUCCAUACCACAUAGUUGUUUUCUCCUCUGCCGCUGAGCACGUUUUCUAAUUCUUUAAACUAGACUAUAAAAUAGUCUAGAACAGAGACCAUGUCUUAUUCAUUUUGGUAUUAUGUGUGCAAGGCUAUGCUCCAUAAGGAGCUGAAUAAUAGUAAUAAAUGAAUAUAUUUUUAAUUAAUAGAUAAAUGUGUGAGUGAAUGAAUGGAUAGAUUGUAAGUAAAUUAAUAAGUGAAUGGGUGACUAAAUAAAUGGACAGGUUUGCAAGGGGUCCAAUAUACAGAUGAGUGGUGGAAUUAAUGAGUUAGGCAAUAAUUGGAUAGGUGAGUAGUUUGAUGAAUUAGUGGAUUGUUUAGUGAGAUGAAUGGAUGGGUUACAUGUAUGGAUAGGUAAUGAGUGAAUGAAUGGAUGACAGGGUGAGUGCAUAUGUGAACAGAUGAAUACAUGGAUACAUGAGUAUAUUGGUGAGUGAAUGGUGAAUAUAUAUAUUGAAUUGACUCUUCUGCCUUGUGGUAUGAGUUUCAAAGAGAAAAAUCUGACUGGAUUUUGAUCACACCUCUGUUACUUAAUCUCUGUGCAUCUCAAUUGCCUCAUCUCUAAAAUCAAAUUAUAAUAAAUACCUUGAAAGUUUUUGUGAAGGAAAAAUAGCAUUAUGUAAUGGUUGGUGCAAAGCAUAUGCGUAUAAAUAGUAGUUGCUAUUCCAGUCGUCAUUAUCAUCAUCAAAUACUUAGCCAAUUCUUGUUUCCUGCACAGACUUGGACUGAUUCCUGGGCAUACAUGGAAAUAUAUAUGUAAUAUUGGCUCUGCCUUCUAGAUCUCCCAGUUACUCUGGGUAGACAAGACAUAUGCAUUAAAGAAUAACCAUCAUUAAAAUGAAGGGAAUGCUCAGUGCCAGAUGAUGAAUUUAUGAGGAACUGGGAGAAAAAAGAGAGAAAGAUCAUGAAAAGUCAAGCAAGUCUUGGAAUGUUAUGUUGAGGUUUAGGAGGUAGAGAGAAGGAAGAUUAAAUUAGCAGAGGU
RNAcentral lists this long non-coding RNA (2481 nucleotides) under Sus scrofa (pig). RNAcentral describes it as "lncRNA (ENSSSCG00065047012.1)". Lineage: Eukaryota; Metazoa; Chordata; Mammalia; Artiodactyla; Suidae. The record is from RNAcentral.